GUAGGGUCCGAGCGUUGUCCGGAAUUAUUGGGCGUAAAGGGCUCGUAGGCGGUUUGUCGCGUCGGGAGUGAAAACUCAGGGCUCAACCCUGAGCGGUGCGUUCCGAGUACGGGCAGACUAGAGGUAUGCAGGGGAGAACGGAAUUCCUGGUGUAGCGGUGGAAUGCGCAGAUAUCAGGAGGAACACCGGUGGCGAAGGCGGUUCUCUGGGCAUUACCUGACGCUGAGGAGCGAAAGCAUGGGGAGCGAACAGGAUUAGAUACCCUGGUAGUCCAUGCCGUAAACGUUGGGCGCUAGGUGUGGGGACCUUCCACGGUCUCCGUGCCGCAGCUAACGCAUUAAGCGCCCCGCCUGGGGAGUACGGCCGCAAGGCUA
Molecule: ribosomal RNA, 374 nt
Filed under: uncultured bacterium
Lineage: Bacteria
Description: bacterial SSU rRNA
Rfam family: Bacterial small subunit ribosomal RNA
Source: RNAcentral